RNA transcript from Zea mays, 482 nucleotides. It is a transcript of the gene named Ferredoxin pseudogene, with no coding region annotated. Lineage: Eukaryota; Viridiplantae; Streptophyta; Magnoliopsida; Poales; Poaceae. The record is from RefSeq and is marked validated. The transcript has 5 exons.
GCUGCUGCCGGACGGGACGCCGGACGUGCAUUACCGGACGGCGCGCGGCGGGCAGAAGCUCAGGGACGUCAUGCUCGACGGCUACAUCGACCUCUACGGGCCCUACGAUAAAGUUCUUCUCAACUGCUCAGGGGGCGGUGUGUGCGGGACCUGCGUCGUCGAGGUGGUCGAAGGCAAGGAAAUGCUAUCCCCAAAAACCGAAGUGGAGAAGGAGUUGCUCAAAAGGAAACCCAAGACGUGGAGAUUGGCGUGCCAGGCAACGGUGGGCAAUGCAGAUUCAACCGGACAGAUGAUCAUUCAACAGUUGCCAGAGUGGAAGAUACAUGAGUGGGACAAGUAGAAGGGCAGAUGCCAUGGAAAAUGGGGAAAAUGAGAAGCAGUUGAUCAGUAGAAUAGCUGGUGCAGAUUGAUGAAGCUUUUCAUACUCAAGCAAAAUCUUGGGCAUGUUUUUCACCAUUUGUAGCACAACUGAAUGGAGCAUG